This 479-nucleotide ribosomal RNA is filed under the name uncultured bacterium. Its description in RNAcentral is "partial 16S ribosomal RNA". It matches the Rfam family "Bacterial small subunit ribosomal RNA", at positions 28 to 523 of the family's 1533-position model. The record is from RNAcentral.
GACGAACGCUGGCGGCGUGCUUAACACAUGCAAGUCGAGCGAUGAAGCACCUUCGGGUGUGAAUUAGCGGCGAACGGGUGAGGAACACGUGAGAAAUCUGCCUUCAACUCUGGGAUAACUCCGGGAAACCGGGGCUAAUACCGGAUAUGAGCCUUGAUCGCAUGAUCGGGGCUGGAAAGUUUUUCGGUUGAAGAUGAUCUCGCGGCCUAUCAGCUUGUUGGUGAGGUAAUGGCUCACCAAGGCGACGACGGGUAGCCGGCCUGAGAGGGCGACCGGCCACACUGGGACUGAGACACGGCCCAGACUCCUACGGGAGGCAGCAGUGGGGAAUAUUGGGCAAUGGAGGAAACUCUGACCCAGCGACGCCGCGUGAGGGAUGAAGGCCUUCGGGUUGUAAACCUCUUUCAGUAGGGAAGAAGCGAAAGUGACGGUACCUACAGAAGAAGCACCGGCUAACUAUGUGCCAGCCGCCGCAGUAA